UACGAACUGUGCGAACGUUAUUCGGAAUCACUGGGCUUAAAGGGUGCGUAGGCGGUUUGUUAAGUCAGGUGUGAAAUCCCCCGGCUCAACCGGGGAACAGCGCUUGAAACUAGCAGACUUGAGUGAGGUAAGGGUGUGUGGAACUUCCAGUGGAGCGGUGAAAUGUGUAGAUAUUGGAAGGAACGCCGGUGGCGAAAGCGACACACUGGGCCUUGUCUGACGCUGAGGCACGAAAGCUAGGGGAGUGAACGGG
RNAcentral lists this ribosomal RNA (253 nucleotides) under uncultured bacterium. Its description in RNAcentral is "partial 16S ribosomal RNA". It matches the Rfam family "Bacterial small subunit ribosomal RNA", at positions 524 to 776 of the family's 1533-position model. The record is from RNAcentral.